CCAUAGUACUAUCUAUAAAGAUUCUGCUAUUUAGCUCCGUUAAUCCAUAUGAGUUUCGUAAAUAAGUGUGCUUAUUGGUGUGUUUACUUAUAUAUUAGCAUAUAUUAGUACUUGUGAUUUGUAUUUAAGUUUGUUUAAGCUUGAUUAGUAUAUAUAAAACUUAAACGGUGUGUAUUUCAAUUUUAUCAAACUUCAUGUAAGUAUGCUUUUGUAAAUAAAGCCCAUAUUCCUUUCAUUUUACUGUUGUUAAUUAGGUUUUAAGCUUUCUUUAUGUUUAAACUUGUUAUUGUUUAUUACUGUUCAUAGUACUAUAGCUGUACU
Molecule: long non-coding RNA, 321 nt
Filed under: Elaeis guineensis (African oil palm)
Lineage: Eukaryota; Viridiplantae; Streptophyta; Magnoliopsida; Arecales; Arecaceae
Description: long non-coding RNA (EGUI_LNC058255)
Source: RNAcentral